GACGAACGCUGGCGGCGUGCUUAACACAUGCAAGUCGAACGGAAAGGCCCUGCUUUUGUGGGGUGCUCGAGUGGCGAACGGGUGAGUAACACGUGAGAAACCUGCCCUUGACUUUGGGGUAACUUCAGGAAACUGGGGCUAAUACCGGAUAGGAGCUCCUGCUGCAUGGUGGGGGUUGGAAAGUUUCGGCGGUUGGGGAUGGACUCGCGGCUUAUCAGCUUGUUGGUGGGGUAGUGGCUUACCAAGGCUUUGACGGGUAGCCGGCCUGAGAGGGUGACCGGCCACAUUGGGACUGAGAUACGGCCCAGACUCCUACGGGAGGCAGCAGUGGGGAAUAUUGCACAAUGGGCGGAAGCCUGAUGCAGCAACGCCGCGUGCGGGAUGACGGCCUUCGGGUUGUAAACCGCUUUCGCCUGUGACGAAGCGUGAGUGACGGUAAUGGGUAAAGAAGCACCGGCUAACUACGUG
This 468-nucleotide ribosomal RNA is filed under the name uncultured bacterium. RNAcentral describes it as "partial 16S ribosomal RNA". It matches the Rfam family "Bacterial small subunit ribosomal RNA", at positions 28 to 507 of the family's 1533-position model. The record is from RNAcentral.